CACUACUAGAAACUAUUCUACAACUCAAUCCAACCAAUAGAGGGCUGAUUUCCUUGCUUUACAAUAAAAUGUUAAAUUUGACACAUACCUCUUCAUCCAAGCUCAAGACACUGUGGGAAGAAGACUUAAACAUGACAACCUCUGAUGAAACAUGGGCCUCUAUACUCAAACAUGUCAACACUACAUCACUAUGUGCCCGCCAUUGUUUAAUCCAGUUCAAAGUGGUGCAUAGAGCCCAUUUCUCAAAAUCCAGAUUAUCCCGUAUCUACCCUGAAAUCACUCCAUACUGUGACAGAUGCAAAACUGCUGAAGCCUCACUGGUCCACAUGUACUGGUCUUGUCCCAAUCUCACUCAGUUCUGGUCAGAGGUUUUUCGUACCCUGUCCAGAAUUCUCAGUGUGACGCUGGCCCCCGGCCCCCUUCUUGCUCUGUUUGGCAUCAGUGGGAAUGAGGUGCUUCUACCGGCCUCUAAAAAACAGGCAUUAUCAUUCUGUUCCCUGUUGGCCAGAAGGGCAAUCCUACUGAGGUGGCGGGACGCUGCCCCUCCCACUCACAAACAGUGGUUAUAUGACCUCAUGGCCUGUCUAAAACUGGAAAAGAUAAGACACUCACUUCAGAACUCCACUGGGAAAUUUCAAGACAUGUGGGGACCCUUCCUUGAUGCUUUUCAAAAUCUAUAAGAAUUUUUCAGCGAACUCUCUUAAGUCAGGUGUGGAAAUACAGUGUGCGGGUGCAGGCAGUGACCUGGGUGGGAAUGAAUGGGAUUGUUUUGCAGGGAUUAUGUUACUUUGGGAUAUAUUAUACAUUUGUUUAUAUUCUUUUUUUUUCUCUUUCUUUCCCUUUUUUCUUUUUCUUUUUUUUUCUUUUAUUUCACAGCCGAAGAUACAUUUUUGGACUCAUUUCACAGCUUAAAUGUACUACUUAACCUUAAUGUACAGACCACCUGGGUCUGGGUGCAGUUCCCCCCUCCAGGGGCAAGGGUACCUAGACCCGGUUCGUAGAGUACGCUUGGGGAGUGUGAUCGUGUGUACAGCGUCUCUUUAUGUCUGUCUCCACGUUGGUUGAGUGUGGAGUAAGUGCAUAUGAGAGCAUGAGGGUGGGAAUGGAUGUUUGUGUCUAUAUGUCAGGUUGGGUAUCAGACGCCACCUCUCUGGGGACAUCUCAGGCCCUCCAAGGUUUGGAGGCCUAUCUCCACCCACCACCACUUCCCCUGCCAGUGGCGGACUCCCUCAGGUGUCAGUGCGUUGGUGGUUCUUUGUGUCUGGGGGUGGGCGUCCGGGUACACACCGGCUCACUCCUUGGCGGCCGCUUAUCGGGGCCUGGAGCCUGGGGCUCGCUCGGGCCACUUCGGAGGUGGGGUGCCCCCGGCCUCUCGGCCUGGGGCUCGGUCACUCAGGCACAGCUGGCUGCCGGCGGAGCUCACGGGCGCGUCACUGCAACUCCCCCUGGCUUCUGCUCCGUGGCUGCUGAGUGAGCCCUCAUCUGGGACUCUCCUCAGCUCUUACUGGGACAGUGGCGCGGCUGCCCCUCUGUUGGUCUUCCUUGGUCUGUUGUGUUCUGGGGGCCUCUGGAUGUCUGGAGUUUUGUUCUCCUCCAUACCUGCUUCAUGCCCUGGUGGACGGGGCUGUGGCCCCCCCACACCCUCUAGCAGAUCAUUACAUGGAGAAACCUUUGGAAUGCAAGCAUGCUGAUCCACACAGGUAUGCACACAGGUGUACAAACGGAUAUUCACAGACGCGGACUACAGCUUUCUUGGCUGCUGCCUCAAAGCACAUUGUGCGCUGUCUAUCUUGCGUGCUGCACAAUAUCGUUUAUUAUUUAGUAUCUACUGCUAGCUAGUUUAUUGUGAUGGUGCCUUUUUUUAUUUUUGUUGCUCUUUGUUGUUUGCUUUCUCUUCUGGGUUUUUUCUCCAUACAGGUGACCCAGGUGUUUUUUUGUUUUUUUUUUGUUUGUUUUUUUUCUUUCUUCCCCCCCUUCUCACCGUCUCUUCUCCCCUUUGGUUUUCUUUCUCUCCCUCUCUUUCUUUCAUUCUUUCUCCCUGUCCUAUCCCCCAGUCAUGUCUGUCCCGUUUGUAGCAACUGUAAAUAAAAUAAAUUCAUAAUUAUAAUAAAGGUCAAUCAAAUGGACCAAUAUCGCAAGGCCAUGAUGAUCCACUUGGUAAAAUAAAUCCGCUUGGCAUCUUUCUUGGCCUUAAGACAACAAUUCUGAUGGCUAUAGAUCCAAAUGGGACACAAAAAAAAAAAAAAACCCUUAAUGUACAGAUCAUCUGUAAUCCUUCUCUUUUCUUUCUGUCUAUAUGUAUAAUAUAUAUGUUGAUGUUUAUGUGUACAAAAGGAAACCUCUUAAUAAAAAAGACAUUGUUUAAAAAAAAAGUGGGAUACUUAGAUGUCGGUUAAGUGGAGCUUCCUGUUAAGCUGCGGGAAGCGCUUAUAAAUUAACAUAAGACUUAGAAAUCGGGCCGCUGUCCUGGACAGAGAACGGUCAAUUGAACAGCAAGGUGGGCAAACCUGGGCUUAGAGGCUUUUAAAUCUGUCGAAAAGGUAGGAUGACCGAUAUCGGAGGCAGAGGAAGUGACGUUGAAAAUGUUUGUUUUCUCUUUGAUCUUUUAGUAGAAUAAGCGGUUAUAAUGCACACUUUCUUACACAUACUGAAAAAGUGCUCAUGAAGAGAUGAUCUGUUGUGAAAGGUGACUUAGAGUGCAGUAAAAGGUCAAUGCAUGCACGCUUAUGGUCACAGAUAUUACGUAGAUUUAUUUCUAGGGUAGAGGUGAAACAUUUUGCUUUGUCUUUGCUUAGCAAGUAGUGAUGCAGAAGGUGUUAAAGAUAUUCAUGCCAUGAAUAAG
This is a long non-coding RNA of Astatotilapia calliptera (eastern happy), 2842 nucleotides long. Lineage: Eukaryota; Metazoa; Chordata; Actinopteri; Cichliformes; Cichlidae. The record is from Ensembl.